Molecule: ribosomal RNA, 210 nt
Filed under: uncultured bacterium
Lineage: Bacteria
Description: partial 16S ribosomal RNA
Source: RNAcentral
GACGAACGCUGGCGGCGUGCUUAACACAUGCAAGUCGAGCGGUAAGGCCCUUUCGGGGUACGACGAGCGGCGAACGGGUAGGAGUAACAACGUGGGUGGACCUCGCCCUUACGUCUCUGGGAGUAAAGACCGUCGGGAAAACGUAGGGUCGUAAUAACCGGACGUAUGACUCCAUGACGCAUGUUGUGGGGUGGAAAGACCUUGUGCGGC